Molecule: long non-coding RNA, 389 nt
Filed under: Brassica napus (rape)
Lineage: Eukaryota; Viridiplantae; Streptophyta; Magnoliopsida; Brassicales; Brassicaceae
Description: long non-coding RNA (BNAP_LNC007157)
Source: RNAcentral
GUCCAAGUGUUGUGUGGAAGAGUUGUGUUGGUUAAGACACAUCCUUUGAUUAAUAUAAAAAUGAUUCGUACAUCAUUUGUUGCACGUAUGUAAAAGAGAGUCUUUCUAAAACACACAACAAUAAUAUUUAUCAAAAGGAGAGAUUAAGGAAGCUUUGGGAUUUCUUGUCCAUCAAGGAAAUCACCAACAUGAGAAGGUUAAAGAGGAGAAGAUCAAUUGGUGGAAUUGCAUCCAAGCAUGGGUCAAGGUUAGUGUUUCUACCUUCUUUAGAAAUGUGUUAGGAUUGAAAUAAAUCAAAUCUAGAUCAGUUCUUGGUGUUGAAAUAAGUUAACAUGAGAAGCAUGGAGAUAAUGAAGGUUUUGUCUCCUUAUCAUAAAGAACACAUCAAG